AUUGAACGCUGGCGGCAUGCCUUACACAUGCAAGUCGAACGGCAGCGGGACCUUCGGGUGCCGGCGAGUGGCGAACGGGUGAGUAAUAUAUCGGAACGUACCUUUCAGUGGGGGAUAACGUAGCGAAAGUUACGCUAAUACCGCAUAUUCUGUGAGCAGGAAAGCAGGGGGAUCGCAAGACCUUGCGCUGAUUGAGCGGCCGAUAUCAGAUUAGCUAGUUGGUGAGGUAAAGGCUCACCAAGGCGACGAUCUGUAGCGGGUCUGAGAGGAUGAUCCGCCACACUGGAACUGAGACACGGUCCAGACUCCUACGGGAGGCAGCAGUGGGGAAUUUUGGACAAUGGGCGCAAGCCUGAUCCAGCCAUGCCGCGUGAGUGAAGAAGGCCUCGGUUGUAAG
RNAcentral lists this ribosomal RNA (397 nucleotides) under uncultured bacterium. RNAcentral's name for it is "bacterial SSU rRNA". It matches the Rfam family "Bacterial small subunit ribosomal RNA", at positions 30 to 429 of the family's 1533-position model. The record is from RNAcentral.